Molecule: ribosomal RNA, 419 nt
Filed under: bacterium
Lineage: Bacteria
Description: partial 16S ribosomal RNA
Rfam family: Bacterial small subunit ribosomal RNA
Source: RNAcentral
UGGGGGAUAUUGCACAAUGGGCGAAAGCCUGAUGCAGCGACGCCGCGUGGGGGAUGAAGGCCUUCGGGUUGUAAACUUCUUUUGCUCUGAACAAGGCGCACCAUGGGGUGUGUUGAGUGUAGGGGUUGAUUAGCGCCGGCUAACUACGUGCCAGCAGCCGCGGUAAUACGUAGGGCGCGAGCGUUGUCCGGAAUUAUUGGGCGUAAAGGGCUUGUAGGUGGCUGUUUGCGUCUGUCGUGAAAGCUCAUGGCUUAACUGUGGGUUUGCGGUGGGUACGGGCUGGCUUGAGUGCAGUAGGGGAGGCUGGAAUUCCUGGUGUAGCGGUGGAAUGCGCAGAUAUCAGGAGGAAUACCGGUGGCGAAGGCGGGUCUCUGGGCUGUUACUGACACUGAGGAGCGAAAGCAUGGGGAGCGAACAGG